AUAUAUAGUUUAUAAUAAAAUUGAGAAUGGAAAUGGGGAAUGUGUCAAAGAGACAACAACCCGACCAAAAUAAAAAAAAAAAACACAACAGCAGAAGGUCACCAACAGGUCUUCAAUGUAGCGAGAAAUUCCCGCACCCGGAGGCGUCCUUCAGCUGGCCCCUAAACAAAUAUAUACUAGUUCAGUGAUAAUGAACGCCAUACUAAUUUCCAAAUUGUACACAAGAAACUAAAAUUUAAAUAAUACAAGACUAACAAAGGCC
Molecule: long non-coding RNA, 262 nt
Filed under: Mytilus galloprovincialis (Mediterranean mussel)
Lineage: Eukaryota; Metazoa; Mollusca; Bivalvia; Mytilida; Mytilidae
Source: RNAcentral